UACGGAGGGUGCAAACGUUGCUCGGAAUCAUUGGGCGUAAAGCGCGCGUAGGCGGACUGUUAAGUCGGAUGUGAAAUCCCUCAGCUUAACUGAGGAAGUGCAUUCGAAACUGGCAGUCUUGAGUAUGGAAGAGGGUCGCGGAAUUCCCGGUGUAGAGGUGAAAUUCGUAGAUAUCGGGAGGAACACCAGUGGCGAAGGCGGCGAUCUGGGAAGAUACUGACGCUGAGGUGCGAAAGCGUGGGGAGCAAACAGG
Molecule: ribosomal RNA, 253 nt
Filed under: uncultured bacterium
Lineage: Bacteria
Description: partial 16S ribosomal RNA
Rfam family: Bacterial small subunit ribosomal RNA
Source: RNAcentral